AUGCCAUGGUGUGGGCAUUUCCUUAACAGCUCUUUAAACCUUUCCCACGCGUUAGGAACAACUUCAUCAUCCAGUUGUUUAAAAAGACAGAUCUCGUUUCUGGAUUU
Molecule: small nucleolar RNA, 107 nt
Organism: Cynara cardunculus var. scolymus (artichoke)
Lineage: Eukaryota; Viridiplantae; Streptophyta; Magnoliopsida; Asterales; Asteraceae
Source: RefSeq, a predicted model, not a curated record